Molecule: non-coding RNA, 300 nt
Organism: Paramuricea clavata
Lineage: Eukaryota; Metazoa; Cnidaria; Anthozoa; Malacalcyonacea; Plexauridae
Source: the annotation of a GenBank genome assembly
UGAAAAUAUAAAUAGUUGUCGAAUAAAAUUCAUUAUUUUGGAUACCGAAAUGUAAACAAAGCCCUUGUUUACAUACGGACUGUACCGCACUUUAAAUAAUAUAUCGAAUUUUCGUAUUGUUUAAUUUAGUCACGAAUAAAGUGUGUCCAGCCUUCUGUUCGAAUAUUUUAUUUUAUGAUCCAGUGUGUGGAUCAAACGGCAAGACUUACCCCAAUCUAUGCAGCUUGCGGUUUGCUGAUUGUGAAUUUGAAAACGACAAAGAAAUAACAUUAAAACAUAACGGAUCAUGCAAGAGUAAAG